RNAcentral lists this ribosomal RNA (1940 nucleotides) under Salmonella enterica. RNAcentral's name for it is "partial 23S ribosomal RNA". It matches the Rfam family "Bacterial large subunit ribosomal RNA", at positions 1 to 2411 of the family's 2925-position model. Lineage: Bacteria; Pseudomonadati; Pseudomonadota; Gammaproteobacteria; Enterobacterales; Enterobacteriaceae. The record is from RNAcentral.
AAGCCAGUGGUGAACUCCACAUACGCAUCCUUUGCUGAGGAUACGGUUAACGGAGCGAAAGCGACGUUCAACCUCAAAAGAAGCAGAGGGGGCUUAGUGGUGGGGUGACUGCGUACCUUUUGUAUAAUGGGUCAGCGACUUAUAUUCUGUAGCAAGGUUAACCGCAUAGGGGAGCCGUAGGGAAACCGAGUCUUAACCGGGCGUUAAGUUGCAGGGUAUAGACCCGAAACCCGGUGAUCUAGCCAUGGGCAGGUUGAAGGUUGGGUAACACUAACUGGAGGACCGAACCGACUAAUGUUGAAAAAUUAGCGGAUGACCUGUGGCUGGGGGUGAAAGGCCAAUCAAACCGGGAGAUAGCUGGUUCUCCCCGAAAGCUAUUUAGGUAGCGCCUCGUGAACUCAUCUCCGGGGGUAGAGCACUGUUUCGGCUAGGGGGCCAUCCCGGCUUACCAACCCGAUGCAAACUGCGAAUACCGAAGAAUGUUAUCACGGGAGACACACGGCGGGUGCUAACGUCCGUCGUGAAGAGGGAAACAACCCAGACCGCCAGCUAAGGUCCCAAAGUCAUGGUUAAGUGGGAAACGAUGUGGGAAGGCACAGACAGCCAGGAUGUUGGCUUAGAAGCAGCCAUCAUUUAAAGAAAGCGUAAUAGCUCACUGGUCGAGUCGGCCUGCGCGGAAGAUGUAACGGGGCUAAACCAUGCACCGAAGCUGCGGCAGCGACACUAUGUGUUGUUGGGUAGGGGAGCGUUCUGUAAGCCGUUGAAGGUGUCCUGUGAGGGAUGCUGGAGGUAUCAGAAGUGCGAAUGCUGACAUAAGUAACGAUAAUGCGGGUGAAAAACCCGCACGCCGGAAGACCAAGGGUUCCUGUCCAACGUUAAUCGGGGCAGGGUGAGUCGACCCCUAAGGCGAGGCCGAAAGGCGUAGUCGAUGGGAAACAGGUUAAUAUUCCUGUACUUGGUGUUACUGCGAAGGGGGGACGGAGAAGGCUAUGUUGGCCGGGCGACGGUUGUCCCGGUUUAAGCGUGUAGGUGUGUGUUCCAGGUAAAUCCGGUUCACUUUAACACUGAGGCGUGAUGACGAGGCACUACGGUGCUGAAGUGACAAAUGCCCUGCUUCCAGGAAAAGCCUCUAAGCAUCAGGUAACACGAAAUCGUACCCCAAACCGACACAGGUGGUCAGGUAGAGAAUACCAAGGCGCUUGAGAGAACUCGGGUGAAGGAACUAGGCAAAAUGGUGCCGUAACUUCGGGAGAAGGCACGCUGAUAUGUAGGUGAAGCGGUUUACCCGUGGAGCUGAAAUCAGUCGAAGAUACCAGCUGGCUGCAACUGUUUAUUAAAAACACAGCACUGUGCAAACACGAAAGUGGACGUAUACGGUGUGACGCCUGCCCGGUGCCGGAAGGUUAAUUGAUGGGGUUAUCCGUAAGGAGAAGCUCUUGAUCGAAGCCCCGGUAAACGGCGGCCGUAACUAUAACGGUCCUAAGGUAGCGAAAUUCCUUGUCGGGUAAGUUCCGACCUGCACGAAUGGCGUAAUGAUGGCCAGGCUGUCUCCACCCGAGACUCAGUGAAAUUGAACUCGCUGUGAAGAUGCAGUGUACCCGCGGCAAGACGGAAAGACCCCGUGAACCUUUACUAUAGCUUGACACUGAACACUGGUCCUUGAUGUGUAGGAUAGGUGGGAGGCUUUGAAGUGUGGACGCCAGUCUGCAUGGAGCCAUCCUUGAAAUACCACCCUUUAAUGGCUGGUGUUCUAACGUGGGCCCCUAAUCGGGGUUGCGGACAGUGUCUGGUGGGUAGUUUGACUGGGGCGGUCUCCUCCCAAAGAGUAACGGAGGAGCACGAAGGUUAGCUAAUCCUGGUCGGACAUCAGGAGGUUAGUGCAAAGGCAUAAGCUAGCUUGACUGCGAGAGUGACGGCUCGAGCAGGUGCGAAAGCAGGUC